GUUGUGUUCAACAUAUAGAUACAGACUUGAAGAUUGGCCACCAGCUUUAUGUCUUCUUGCUUGUCUUCUCUGGAGUUUGAUAGGAUGGUAAAUUGAUUCUGAUGUUAUGAUUACACUAUUAAUGGAGUAAAUGCUGCAUACAA
Rhinichthys klamathensis goyatoka is the source of this 143-nucleotide long non-coding RNA. RefSeq lists it as uncharacterized. The record is from RefSeq and is a predicted model, not a curated record. NCBI's taxonomy places the organism in Eukaryota, Metazoa, Chordata, Actinopteri, Cypriniformes, Leuciscidae. The transcript is spliced from 2 exons.